Molecule: ribosomal RNA, 1367 nt
Filed under: Stigonema anomalum TM02-11
Lineage: Bacteria; Bacillati; Cyanobacteriota; Cyanophyceae; Nostocales; Stigonemataceae
Description: bacterial SSU rRNA
Rfam family: Bacterial small subunit ribosomal RNA
Source: RNAcentral
CGGACGGGUGAGUAACGCGUGAGGAUCUGCCUUCAGGUCGGGGACAACCAUUGGAAACGGUGGCUAAUACCGGAUAUACCUAACAGUGAAAGAUUAAUUGCCUGAAGAGGAGCUCGCGUCUGAUUAGCUAGUUGGUGGGGUAAAAGCCUACCAAGGCGACGAUCAGUAGCUGGUCUGAGAGGACGAUCAGCCACACUGGAACUGAGACACGGUCCAGACUCCUACGGGAGGCAGCAGUGGGGAAUUUUCCGCAAUGGGCGAAAGCCUGACGGAGCAAUACCGCGUGAGGGAGGAAGGCUCUUGGGUUGUAAACCUCUUUUCUCAGGGAAGAACAAAAUGACGGUACCUGAGGAAUCAGCAUCGGCUAACUCCGUGCCAGCAGCCGCGGUAAUACGGAGGAUGCAAGCGUUAUCCGGAAUGAUUGGGCGUAAAGCGUCCGCAGGUGGCAUUGAAAGUCUGCUGUCAAAGAGUCUGGCUCAACCAGAUAAAGGCAGUGGAAACUACAAAGCUAGAGUACGCUCGGGGCAGAGGGAAUUCCUGGUGUAGCGGUGAAAUGCGUAGAGAUCAGGAAGAACACCGGUGGCGAAAGCGCUCUGCUAGGCCGUAACUGACACUGAGGGACGAAAGCUAGGGGAGCGAAUGGGAUUAGAUACCCCAGUAGUCCUAGCCGUAAACGAUGGAUACUAGGUGUUGCUUGUAUCGACCCGAGCAGUACCGUAGCUAACGCGUUAAGUAUCCCGCCUGGGGAGUACGCAGGCAACUGUGAAACUCAAAGGAAUUGACGGGGGCCCGCACAAGCGGUGGAGUAUGUGGUUUAAUUCGAUGCAACGCGAAGAACCUUACCAGGGCUUGACAUGUCGCGAACCCUUGUGAAAGCAGGGGGUGCCUUCGGGAGCGCGAACACAGGUGGUGCAUGGCUGUCGUCAGCUCGUGUCGUGAGAUGUUGGGUUAAGUCCCGCAACGAGCGCAACCCUCGUUUUUAGUUGCCAUCAUUAAGUUGGGCACUCUAGAGAGACUGCCGGUGACAAACCGGAGGAAGGUGGGGAUGACGUCAAGUCAGCAUGCCCCUUACGUCCUGGGCUACACACGUACUACAAUGCGCCGAACAGAGGGCAGCAAGCAUGCGAAUGCAAGCUAAUCCCGGAAAUCGGCGCUCAGUUCAGAUCGCAGGCUGCAACUCGCCUGCGUGAAGUUGGAAUCGCUAGUAAUUGCAGGUCAGCAUACUGCGGUGAAUUCGUUCCCGGGCCUUGUACACACCGCCCGUCACACCAUGGAAGCUGGUAGUGCCCGAAGUCAUUACCCCAACCUCCGGGAGGGGGAUGCCUAAGGCAGGACUGGUGACUGGGGUGAAGUCGUAACAAGGUAAC